RNAcentral lists this small RNA (155 nucleotides) under Sphingobacterium spiritivorum ATCC 33861. It matches the Rfam family "Bacterial large subunit ribosomal RNA", at positions 13 to 188 of the family's 2925-position model. Lineage: Bacteria; Pseudomonadati; Bacteroidota; Sphingobacteriia; Sphingobacteriales; Sphingobacteriaceae. The record is from RNAcentral.
AAGGGCACACGGGGGAUGCCUAGGCUCUCAGAGGCGAAGAAGGACGUGAUAAGCUGCGAUAAGCAUCGGGGAUUGGCAAAUGCGACUAGAUCCGAUGAUUUCCGAAUGGGGCAACCUAACAUACUGAAGGUAUGUUGUAUAAUACGCGAACGCGC